AUGGCGUCCCUCGUCCCCCGGCUCCUUGGCCGCCGGACUCUGCAACCCGCCGUUGCUCUACGCUCUCCACGCGAUCCUUGGAUGCGUUUCCACGGCGCAAAUCCCCCACGCCCCUGCCCGCUGUUCCGGCCUUCCCCGGGGGUUGAUGGAUGCGCGAGAGCUGCGCGGAGAUGGUGGUUUCUCUCGCCGGUAAGGCACGGGAGCACGGCGGUGACGCUGAACACGGACGGCGGCUUUGCGCGGUUCUCCGUCGGAGAUCCGGGCCCGAAUCAGAAUGGGGGGCAGAAUCAGCCGCCGGCGAAGAAGAAGAUGUCCAAGAAGUCCAAGGUCAACCAGCUCAAGUGGUAUCGCCUCAAGGCCAAAAAGAAGAUGAAGUCGCCCAACCCCGAAGUCAGGAUAAGAUACAAGCUCGGAAAGGCCAAGAGGAAAGAAGAAUGGCUGAUUGAGAAACUCAGGAAGUACGAGGCCCCGAGGGCUCCGGAGCCGGUUCACGACCCUGAGAUUCUGACCGAGGAGGAGAAGUUCUAUCUGAAACGGACUGGGGAGAAGAAAAAGAACUAUGUUCCUGUUGGGAGGAGAGGGGUGUUUGGUGGUGUGGUUCUCAACAUGCACCUCCACUGGAAGAAGCAUGAGACUAUGCAAGUAGUCUGCAAGCCCUGUCGACCUGGGCAAGUGUAUGAGUACGCAGAGGAGCUGGCGAGGCUCAGCAAAGGGACAGUUAUUGAUAUUAAACCUAAUAAUACCAUUAUCUUUUAUCGUGGAAAGAAUUAUGUGCAGCCAAAGGUUAUGUCACCUCCUGAUACUCUUUCUAAGCAGAAGGCCUUGGAGAAAUAUAGGUAUGAACAGUCUCUGGAACAUACCAGUAAAUUUGUUGAGCAGCUGGAACAGGAGCUUGAAGAUUACCAGAAGCAUGUUGCUUUAUUUAAGAAGCGCGAAGGGGCUAUUUCUGAGCAAAUCAGCAAUGAAGACUCUGCUGUGGAUGACCUCACAACUAACUCAGAUACCGAUUGA
This 1011-nucleotide ribosomal RNA is filed under the name Triticum aestivum (bread wheat). RNAcentral describes it as "partial small subunit ribosomal RNA". Lineage: Eukaryota; Viridiplantae; Streptophyta; Magnoliopsida; Poales; Poaceae. The record is from RNAcentral.